This 374-nucleotide ribosomal RNA is filed under the name uncultured prokaryote. RNAcentral describes it as "bacterial SSU rRNA". It matches the Rfam family "Bacterial small subunit ribosomal RNA", at positions 524 to 896 of the family's 1533-position model. The record is from RNAcentral.
UACGUAGGGUGCGAGCGUUAAUCGGAAUUACUGGGCGUAAAGCGUGCGCAGGCGGCUUUGUAAGUCAGAUGUGAAAUCCCCGAGCUCAACUUGGGAACUGCGUUUGAAACUACAAGGCUAGAAUAUGUCAGAGGGGGGUAGAAUUCCACGUGUAGCAGUGAAAUGCGUAGAGAUGUGGAGGAAUAUCAAUGGCGAAGGCAGCCCCCUGGGAUAAUAUUGACGCUCAUGCACGAAAGCGUGGGGAGGAAACAGGAUUAGAGGCCCAGGUAGUCCACGCCCUAAACGAUGUCUACUGGGUGUUGGUGGAGUAAAAUCCAUGAGUAACGCAACUAACGCGUGAAGUAGACCGCCGGGGGAGUACUGUCGCAAGAUUA